UGGUCUCAAACCAUUUAUUUCUCCCGACC
This 29-nucleotide non-coding RNA is filed under the name Rattus norvegicus (Norway rat). The record is from RNAcentral. Lineage: Eukaryota; Metazoa; Chordata; Mammalia; Rodentia; Muridae.